AACGAACGCUGGCGGCAGGCUUAACACAUGCAAGUCGAGCGCCCCGCAAGGGGAGCGGCAGGCGGGUGAGUAACGCGUGGGAACGUACCUUUUGGUUCGGAACAACUCCGGGAAACUGGAGCUAAUACCGGAUAAGCCCUAACGGGGUAAGAGUUAUCGCCGAAAGAUCGGCCCGCGUCUGAUUAGCUAGUUGGUGAGGUAACGGCUCACCAAGGCGACGAUCAGUAGCUGGUCGGAGAGGAUGAUCAGCCACACUGGGACUGAGACACGGCACAGACUCAUACGGGAGGCAGCAGUGGGGAAUAUUGGACAAUGGGCGCAAGCCUGAUCCAGCCAUGCCGCGUGAGUGAUGAAGGCCUUAGGGUUGUAAAGCUCUUUUGUCCGGGAAGAUAAUGACUGUACCGGAAGAAUAAGCCCCGGCUAACUUCGUG
RNAcentral lists this ribosomal RNA (431 nucleotides) under uncultured bacterium. RNAcentral describes it as "partial 16S ribosomal RNA". It matches the Rfam family "Bacterial small subunit ribosomal RNA", at positions 29 to 507 of the family's 1533-position model. The record is from RNAcentral.